RNAcentral lists this ribosomal RNA (440 nucleotides) under uncultured bacterium. RNAcentral's name for it is "partial 16S ribosomal RNA". It matches the Rfam family "Bacterial small subunit ribosomal RNA", at positions 338 to 795 of the family's 1533-position model. The record is from RNAcentral.
CCUACGGGAGGCAGCAGUGGGGGAUAUUGCACAAUGGGGGAAACCCUGAUGCAGCGACGCCGCGUGUGGGAAGACGGUCCUCUGGAUUGUAAACCACUGUCCCCAGGGACGAAGAUGACGGUACCGGGGGAGGAAGCUCCGGCUAACUACGUGCCAGCAGCCGCGGUAAUACGUAGGGAGCGAGCGUUGUCCGGAAUUACUGGGUGUAAAGGGAGCGUAGGCGGGACUGCAAGUUGGGUGUCAAAUCUACCGGCUCAACCGGUAGCCGCACUCGAAACUGCAGUUCUUGAGUGAAGUAGAGGCAGGCGGAAUUCCUAGUGUAGCGGUGAAAUGCGUAGAUAUUAGGAGGAACACCAGUGGCGAAGGCGGCCUGCUGGGCUUUUACUGACGCUGAGGCUCGAAAGUGUGGGGAGCAAACAGGAUUAGAUACCCGGGUAGUC